GCGCGCGUGGCGCAGUGGUAGCGCACUUGCAUGACACGCAAGGGGUCACAGGUUCGAAUCCUGUCGCGCGCACCA
This 75-nucleotide transfer RNA is filed under the name bacterium. RNAcentral describes it as "tRNA-Val". It matches the Rfam family "tRNA". Rfam says of the family: Transfer RNA (tRNA) molecules are approximately 80 nucleotides in length. The record is from RNAcentral.